AACGCACGAGACCUGCGGACCUGCGGAAGGAUCAUUAAUGAAUAAAAAGUCAGUUGGAUUUGUUGCUGGCUUUUUUCAACAGCAUGUGCACAAUCCGGUCUGACAUUUAUGCUCAUUUUCCAACCCCUUGUGCACUUCUGUAGAUCCUGAAUGGCUCUCAAGUAAAUAAUAAUAAUAAUAAUAAUUUACUUGGUUCUGGAGAAUUUGCUGUUGCAUAAUAAAUAUCUUAUGCAUGGCUUA
RNAcentral lists this unclassified non-coding RNA (240 nucleotides) under soil metagenome. Its description in RNAcentral is "partial contains 5.8S ribosomal RNA, internal transcribed spacer 2, and large subunit ribosomal RNA". The record is from RNAcentral.